Molecule: long non-coding RNA, 1041 nt
Organism: Populus nigra (black poplar)
Lineage: Eukaryota; Viridiplantae; Streptophyta; Magnoliopsida; Malpighiales; Salicaceae
Exons: 3
Source: RefSeq, a predicted model, not a curated record
UCCCCUCUUUUGGGUUCCUUAUUGUUGCCGAAGGCUCAAUAAAGUCAUACGCGGAUCACAUUUGAAUCCAGAGAUCUCUUACCAACAACCUGCUAUUUUCAAUCUUUCCACUGCAGAACAAACCCUUUAAAAGGUUUAUGUAGUUUAGGGCAGCAAAUCGAGUGUAAUUACUUGUUAUGCUGUCUUUUUAAGCACUUAAGAUCUUCCUUAGUUAUUGUCUGAUGGACUUGUGUGUAUUUGGAGGAAUUUCACAUAGUGGGUGACAACCCCGUCGGUAUAAUGGUGGAUUCUCAAACUGGAAAGCCCAUUGUGUCUCUAUGUGGACAGACGGAUUUCUCAUUUGCAUCUGCUUGGCAUCCUGAAGGCCGCAUUUUUGCCACGGGGAACCAAGACAAACCCUGUCUUAUUUGGGAUGCUCGAAACUUGUCAAAGUCUGUUGCUGUGCUGAAGGGCAAUCUAGGAGCCAUUAGAUCAACUCGUUUUACAUCUGAUGGGCAGUUCAUGGCGAUGGAAGAGCCGGCAGACUUUUGCAUGUGUAUGAUACGAAGGUUUGAGAAAGAGCAGGAGAUACAGAAUCCCUCUUUAUAGGAGUGUGGGAUCGCAAUUAUGGAAGCCUCUUUCAGUACAACCGAUGCAGGAGUUACUCGUAUCUCGACUCCCUUAUGUGAUUAUCAGUCAUACCUUGAGAUCCUGCAUUUGCAAUUUCCUAUGAACAUGGGGAUGCUAGAUCUGACAUUCAUGCACAUGAUGAUGGUGACAUGCCUCAUGUUACUUUGCGGUAGAAAAGAAAUUGAGAAGAGACAUUAUACUGCUAUAAUAUCUUGCUCUGAAAUUAUGAUGGGUGACAUUGUAAGAGAGGAAGAAAUCGGACAUGAUGGCAUAGAACCGAUGGAGAGCAUGCAGGGAGACUUGGCGCGUAUCUGGUUAGGUAAACUGGAAUCACUGCAUGACUAAGGCUUGUGAUCGUUUACUCUUUUCCCUGACCCUUCUUUUUUAGAAGAAAUCAUGCAAAAAUGGCAUAGCUCCUAUUCAGAUUUGCAA